This 129-nucleotide ribosomal RNA is filed under the name Hippocampus comes (tiger tail seahorse). Its description in RNAcentral is "5.8S ribosomal RNA (ENSHCOG00000005558.1)". It matches the Rfam family "5.8S ribosomal RNA". Rfam says of the family: 5.8S ribosomal RNA (5.8S rRNA) is a component of the large subunit of the eukaryotic ribosome. It is transcribed by RNA polymerase I as part of the 45S precursor that also contains 18S and 28S rRNA. The record is from RNAcentral. Lineage: Eukaryota; Metazoa; Chordata; Actinopteri; Syngnathiformes; Syngnathidae.
GACUCUUAGCGUUGGAUCACUCGGCUCGUGCGUCGACAAAAGACGCAGCGAGCGGCGAGAACUAAUGUGAAUUGCAGGACACAUUGAUCAUCGACACUUCGAACGCACUUUGCGUGUGUCUGAGCGUCG